This 247-nucleotide ribosomal RNA is filed under the name uncultured bacterium. RNAcentral's name for it is "partial 16S ribosomal RNA". It matches the Rfam family "Bacterial small subunit ribosomal RNA", at positions 523 to 769 of the family's 1533-position model. The record is from RNAcentral.
AUACGUAGGGUGCUAGCGUUAUCCGGAUUUACUGGGUGUAAAGGGCGCGUAGGCGGGGAUGCAAGUCAGAUGUGAAAUCUAUGGGCUUAACCCAUAAACUGCAUUUGAAACUGUAUCUCUUGAGUGUCGGAGAGGUAGACGGAAUUCCUAGUGUAGCGGUGAAAUGCGUAGAUAUUAGGAGGAACACCAGUGGCGAAGGCGGUCUACUGGACGAUAACUGACGCUGAGGCGCGAAAGCGUGGGGAGC